UGAAGAUGAAUCUGGCAAUUCCUAAACCAUUUACAUUAUUUGCAUUAAAUACUCCUAUUGAUUGCCCUCCCUGUGUCCUAUGCUAAAGAUCGAAUGUCAGGAUCUCUCCUUCAAUUGACACAGAUGCAUGUAUGAUCCUUUGAAUUGGAAGGUGCCAUGCGUGCCAAUUCUUUUCCCGAUCAGGCCAUGUGUUUUAAUCUCUUUUGAUAUACUUUCAGUCGGCUUCCUUCUCUAUGCUCAGUUUCACUGUCU
RNAcentral lists this long non-coding RNA (252 nucleotides) under Carica papaya (papaya). RNAcentral's name for it is "long non-coding RNA (CPAP_LNC016383)". The record is from RNAcentral. Lineage: Eukaryota; Viridiplantae; Streptophyta; Magnoliopsida; Brassicales; Caricaceae.